RNAcentral lists this ribosomal RNA (254 nucleotides) under uncultured bacterium. RNAcentral's name for it is "partial 16S ribosomal RNA". It matches the Rfam family "Bacterial small subunit ribosomal RNA", at positions 524 to 777 of the family's 1533-position model. The record is from RNAcentral.
UACGUAGGGCGCAAGCGUUGUCCGGAAUUAUUGGGCGUAAAGAGCUCGUAGGCGGUUUGUCGCGUCUGCUGUGAAAACCUAAGGCUCAACCUUGGGCUUGCAGUGGGUACGGGCAGACUAGAGUGCGGUAGGGGUGACUGGAAUUCCUGGUGUAGCGGUGGAAUGCGCAGAUAUCAGGAGGAACACCGAUGGCGAAGGCAGGUCACUGGGCCGCAACUGACGCUGAGGAGCGAAAGCAUGGGGAGCGAACAGGA